Non-coding RNA from Peromyscus maniculatus bairdii (prairie deer mouse), 1053 nucleotides. NCBI's taxonomy places the organism in Eukaryota, Metazoa, Chordata, Mammalia, Rodentia, Cricetidae. The record is from RefSeq and is a predicted model, not a curated record.
CCUCCCCUCUGUAGACACUUGGCUUGGCUUUUGUGCUACUUAGGUUCUGGUUCCUGGGGUGGUUGCUGAGAGCUGAAGGCUGAGCUUAGUGCUAUUCUGCGUCCUGAGCCACCCGCCCCCCUCUCCCCCCCUCGUGGGGCGCUAACACUUCAAAAUGUAGGGCGUAGCAUGGGUGCUUUAAAAUCUGGUCGUGGGAAUGACCUCGUGGCAACCACCAUCGAGCCUUCAUCUUUAUGGCGAUGUACUCAGCAUCCCAGUGUGCCUCCCAUCCCCCCGCCCCCGCCCGCCCCAAGCAUGGCCUGGUAGACUCCAAAUAAAGAUGGGUUAAUUUUCCUGGAGCCCAGAACAGUGAGCCCGCGGGCCUGAAAUCACACGUGGAGACUAAAAGCACAAGACCUGAAUGAUUGGAGAAGAGAAGUGUACCACAACCUUAGUUCCCCAGACCAUCAUGGAUCUCUUCCAAAUGGGAACCAAGGUAUACAGAACUCUUCACCUACCUGCCAGUACAACAGAAACAAAACCAAGACACUGCCUGUCCUCCCUGCCUAGUGGGUUGGGCUGCUAUGUCCAAAAGUGAGACUCAUGUCAAUCCUUUCCAAAUGCCAGAUCAUUAAUCAUUCAUCUGGAGCACACAAGAACACUGUGUUUGUGGAUUUGGGAACAGCUAUGUGAAGAAAUGUCAUAUCUGCAUCAAGUUGCUCCUGGUUUUCAGGGCUAAAGAAAUGAAAACAACCGAUGUGAUCUCAUUGAAUGGGCUUCACAGGUCUUAUCUCUUCAAAGGUAGCUGUGUACAGGAGUUAAGCUACUGUAUGUUCAUCUGCCUUGUUUCUGAGUCUGUGAAACAAGUAAAUAAUGUCACAUCAACCCCAGGUCUGUGGUGAGGAUUACAUGAAUAAAGAGGACUUACAAUAGUGUUGAACGCUCACAUGUGGACUGUUCCUACUAUUCAAUUAAGGCAUUCAACUGACAGUGUCAGCUGAAAGACAAACUUUAUUUCAGUGUGUUGAUAGGUAGUCAAGUCUUACCUUGAAUAAAUUUUAACAUUAAAUGAAA